AAGAUAUAAAUUAAUAAAUUUAUAAUUAAUAAAAUUAAUUUUAAUAAUAAAAUGGGGGGUUUUAGUAUUAAUUAAGAAAUAAUUAUAAAAUUUAUAGUAUAAUAUUAUUGUAAAAGAAUUUUGAAAUAAUAAUGAAAAAAAAAUUUAUUAAAAAGUAAAUUUUAUUUAUUGUAUCUUGUGUAUCAGAGUUUAUUAAUAAAAUUUUUUAGGGAAAAAUUUCUCGAAUUAAAAAGAGAUAAUUAAUUAAAAAAGUUAUUGUAGCAAAAAUAUUUUUAAUAAUUAAUUUGAAAUGAAAUGUUAGUCGUUUUUUAAUAUAUCUAGUUUUUUUAGAAAAAAAUUUAAUUUUAUAUUUAUUUAAUAAAGUUAAUUAAUUUUUUAAUUAUUUUAAAAUAAAAUUUUAUAUUUUAAGGGAUAAGCUUUAAAUUAAAUUUUUAUAAUUAUUUAAUAAAAUUUAAUUGAAAUUUUUAAAAUUUAUAUUGUUUAAAAAUUUUAAUUUAUUAUAAAUAAUUUCAUUUUAUUAUAAAAUUUUAUUGUUAAUUUAAUUUUUUAUAAAAAAAAUAAUUUUUAAUACAAUAAAAUUAGAUAUAAUGAUAAAAUUAGUAUAAAAUUAUAUUAAAUAAAUAAAUAUAAUAAUUUAUUUAAAUUAAUAAAAAGGAAUUCGGCAAAUAUUUAUAUUCACUUGUUUAUCAAAAACAUGUCUUUUUGAUAAUAAUUUAAAGUCUAAUCUGCCCACUGAUGAAUAUUAAAGGGCUGCAGUAUUUUGACUGUACAAAGGUAGCAUAAUCAUUAGUCUCUUAAUUGGUGACUUGUAUGAAAGAUUGGAUGAAAUAUAUACUGUCUCUAAGUUAAAAUUAGAAUUUAAUUUUUUAAUUAAAAAGUUAAAAUAAAUUUAAAAGACGAGAAGACCCUAUAGAGUUUUAUAAAUAAUUAUAUUAAGAUUAUAUAUAAAUUUAAUAAUUAAAAUAUUAAUUUUUUAUUUUAUUGGGGUGAUAAAAAAAUAAAAAAAACUUUUUUUAAUUUAAAACAUAAAUAAGUGAAUAAAUUGAUCCAAAAUUUUUGAUUAAAAGAAAAAAUUACCUUAGGGAUAACAGCGUAAUUUUUUUUUUUAGUUCAAAUAAAAAAAAGAGUUUGCGACCUCGAUGUUGGAUUAAGAUAAAAUUUAAAUGCAAAAGUUUAAAAUUUUGAUCUGUUCGAUCAUUAAAAUCUUACAUGAUCUGAGUUCAAACCGGUGUGAGCCAGGUUGGUUUCUAUCUUUAAAUAAAUAAAAUAUUUUAGUACGAAAGGAUCAAAUAUUUAAAUUAAAUUUAUUAGAAUUGAAUAUUAUUAAAUAAUUUAUUAUAGAAA
This 1344-nucleotide ribosomal RNA is filed under the name Evergestis extimalis. RNAcentral's name for it is "16S ribosomal RNA". Lineage: Eukaryota; Metazoa; Arthropoda; Insecta; Lepidoptera; Crambidae. The record is from RNAcentral.